GGAUUGGUUAGACAGUGCUGAACGCUCAACGGCAGAGUAAUGACCUAACAUUAUCACAAGAUGUCGCAGUCUACAAAGUUAAAAGUUAAAGCUCGGCACAAAGUCAGGGAGAAAGUCAGUUCUUCAUCAUGUUAAAAGGGAUAUUGUUCUCCAUAUCAAACCACCCCAAACCACUUCUGCGAGUGAAGGUCCUGUAUUGAGUCUGCGGCAACAAAGACCCUCAUUCUACCUGACACUGGAGACGUUAUCCUGGCUAAAGCGAGGUCUGUGUCCUGGGACGGAGUGAUGCCAGCCAGUAAGAGAUGAUCCAAGUGUCCUGGCAUAGUCUAGGUGCUGUUGCGAGCGCAGAUGAAACGCACCAGGCUGAAUCACACCAGAACCAAAUCGCUUUUGCUCGGUCAGUGCAAAACAGGUACGGAACGUUUAAAGAGGAUUAUCCCAGUGAAAAUUAAGGUUUUUGUAUCUCCAUUUUCUGCGGCAAUUUCUUCAGCUGGUCUUCUGCUCAUCCUUCAUCUUUAUGAAGUCUUCACAUUUGCCAUAAAACUGUACAAUAUUCACUCACUCCUUAUUAACUGAAAAGCUCUCUCUAUCAAUCUUUUGCAAUCUGAUCUAGUUGGACUGCUCUCUCUUUCUCUCUCUCUCUCUCUCUCUCUCUCACUCUCACACUC
Sander lucioperca (pikeperch) is the source of this 668-nucleotide long non-coding RNA. RefSeq lists it as uncharacterized. The record is from RefSeq and is a predicted model, not a curated record. Lineage: Eukaryota; Metazoa; Chordata; Actinopteri; Perciformes; Percidae. The transcript is spliced from 3 exons.